RNAcentral lists this ribosomal RNA (471 nucleotides) under uncultured Methanosaeta sp. RNAcentral describes it as "bacterial SSU rRNA". It matches the Rfam family "Archaeal small subunit ribosomal RNA", at positions 871 to 1337 of the family's 1478-position model. Lineage: Archaea; Methanobacteriati; Methanobacteriota; Methanomicrobia; Methanotrichales; Methanotrichaceae. The record is from RNAcentral.
UUGACGGGGAGCACCACAACGGGUGGAGCUUGCGGUUUAAUUGGAUUCAACGCCGAAAUCUUACCGGGACCGACAGCAAUAUGAAGGCCAGGCUGAAGACUUUGCCGGAUUAGCUGAGAGGUGGUGCAUGGCCGUCGUCAGUUCGUACUGUGAAGCAUCCUGUUAAGUCAGGCAACGAGCGAGACCCACGCCCACAGUUGCCAGCGUACUCUCUGGAGUGACGGGUACACUGUGGGACCGCCGCUGCUAAAGCGGAGGAAGGAAUGGGCAACGGUAGGUCAGUAUGCCCCGAAUAUCCCGGGCUACACGCGAGCUACAAUGGUUGGUACAAUGGGUAUCUACCCCGAAAGGGGACGGGAAUCUCCUAAAACCAAUCUUAGUUCGGAUUGAGGGCUGCAACUCGCCCUCAUGAAGCUGGAAUCCGUAGUAAUCGCGUUUCAACAGAACGCGGUGAAUACGUCCCUGCUCCUU